CAGUAGCGUAUAUUAAAGUUGUUGCAGUUAAAAUGCUCGUAGUUGAAGUUCGGAUGCAGCAGAGCUUGGAAACGCUGUUAUGGUGCUUCCGUUGCUUUUGCUUGUCCACAGUGCGUUGCAAGUACGUAUGUGCUUGUGCGUACAUUUUACUUUGAGAAACAUAGGGUGUUCCACGCAUGUUACGGCAUGAAUAUUCCAGCAUGGGAUAAUCUGGUACGACUUCCAAUCUGCCAUUUUGGUUCGUAGGUUGGAAGUAAUGAUUAAUAGGGACUGUCGGGGGCAUUGGUAUUUGACUGUCAGAGGUGAAAUUCUUAGAUUCGUUGAGGACCAACCACUGCGAAAGCAUUUGUCAAGGAUGUCUCCAUUAA
Molecule: ribosomal RNA, 368 nt
Filed under: uncultured eukaryote
Lineage: Eukaryota
Description: partial 18S ribosomal RNA
Rfam family: Eukaryotic small subunit ribosomal RNA
Source: RNAcentral